ACAGAGGUGGCAAGCGUUGUUCGGAAUUACUGGGCGUAAAGGGCGCGUAGGCGGUUCGAUAAGUCCCGUGUGAAAUCCCUCGGCUCAACUGAGGAAUGGCACGGGAAACUGACGGGCUUGAGUUCGGGAGAGGGAAGCGGAAUUCCGGGUGUAGCGGUGAAAUGCGUAGAUAUCCGGAGGAACACCGGUGGCGAAGGCGGCUUCCUGGACCGAUACUGACACUGAGGCGCGAAAGCGUGGGUAGCGAACAGGA
RNAcentral lists this ribosomal RNA (253 nucleotides) under uncultured prokaryote. RNAcentral describes it as "partial 16S ribosomal RNA". It matches the Rfam family "Bacterial small subunit ribosomal RNA", at positions 525 to 777 of the family's 1533-position model. The record is from RNAcentral.